Anaerostipes sp. CAG:276 is the source of this 87-nucleotide non-coding RNA. The record is from Rfam. Lineage: Bacteria; Bacillati; Bacillota; Clostridia; Lachnospirales; Lachnospiraceae.
UUUAAUAUUUAGUAAAACUAUCGAAAGGUAGUGACACAAAGCCAAGGGUCUAAGAUCUCUAAGAGAUUACGAUAGCCGGUUGCCGCA